This 353-nucleotide long non-coding RNA is filed under the name Junco hyemalis (dark-eyed junco). RNAcentral's name for it is "lncRNA (ENSJHYG00000008338.1)". Lineage: Eukaryota; Metazoa; Chordata; Aves; Passeriformes; Passerellidae. The record is from RNAcentral.
GAAAUGCUUUGGCUCGUGCCUCCAGGGAGGGUGACAACAUCUGUCUGUGCAGCACAGGCAGUGUGUGACCUCUCACAAUCAUCCAGUCAGGAGCCCUUUUGCUGGCUGAGACCCUUUCUCAGGUGUCUCACAUCAGGCCCUGGCACCUGAGCUAGUCAAUGCAUUUUAAGAUGCGACGAGCAGGACAGACAUUCCCAUCUCAAUUCCCACCAAGAUUUCUGGGACUGACAUGAGUUUGCUGGCUGGUGACAGAGACAUCUUCCCACCUGGAGAGUGUUUCUGUGCCGUACCUUUUCAUUGCUGCUGCCAGCAGCAUAUCCUCUAACCGUGAAAUAAAAAUUCAUCUUGGUACA